CUUUCCUUGUGUUGACACAUCAGACUUUUAGAAUCUUAAGAGGCUGACAUGUCAUUAACUGAAAAAAGUUGAGUGACCAAUUAAAACAUUUUGUUUCUCCACGUCUUUGGAAUUGUGUUUGCACAUUCUUCUUCGUUCAUUCACCCUUACUAUCUUUGAGUUCUCUGAAGUUUGCAAAAGAGAAGUGAAAAUCAGAUGAAUUUCUUCUCUGAAGUUUACAAGCCUACUGCAAUCAGAUCAAUUUUCAUUGCCGCAUAGUCUCCUCCUCAUGCCGUAACCACCAGAUUUCUCCGUGAAUGCAGAUCUGCUCUCUCAUGCCCUAACCGCCGUGUUUCUCUAUGUCAAGCAGAUCAACUCGAGCCUAGAGCCGAAUUGAGAGAUGGGUACCACUGCCUUUCGUGUCAGAGCAACUCAGUAAAGGGAGUGCUCUUCAUCGUUCUCUCUGAUUUUUGUUUGGUCUUUCCAUAUUCUGCUGAGAUUUGAUCGUUCUGUUGUUUGUGGUGUUGAAAUCUGAUAAAAUAGAGUUCUUUGAUCACAAUUCUGAGUUUAGACUUUUCAUAUUCUCGCAGAGAAAUCAGAUCUGUGUUUGGUUUUGUAGAAUCUGUGUUAUCUGUUUCUGUUUGGGUUUGAGAAGAGUGAUUCAUCUGUUUCUGUUUAUGAUUGAUCUUAUUUCAAUUGAUAUUGUUAAGUGUAAGAUAAUUUCGAAAUUAACAUGUGCUGCUCAGGAUCUGAGUUUCGAUUUGAUCAGUUUCUGACACUGUAAAAGUUUCUUCAAAACUGUUCUGUUUUUAAAAUCAAAAACCUGCAAUGAUUCUGUGCUGUGUAUAUUUCUGAGUGUCUGGCUGGUUUGAUUAUUUGUCUCUGAAGUUAAAUCAUUUAUAAGAGUGAUUAGGAUGUGUUUUUGGAUUUGGAAAAAGAUUUCAACUUUGAUUAAGAAAAGCUAUGUGAGUUUCUUGCUUUGCUCCUAGCUUUGUGUUCUUAAUUAAGAUUUCAUUGCAAUCUGAUGUGUAAUGUCCAUUAAUCACUGUCAAGUUCUGUCUAUUAUACUCUUAGUUUAGUUAUGGUCUUCUUUUGUUUUGAUAUUUUCUGCAGGUAUCUUGUGAACUCACGACAAUGGUGGUCACAAAUGCUGUAGGUCCUCUUCUUGGGGAUCUUACUUGUGGAACUUUACUGCAAAAGUUGCAGGAAAUCUUGGAUGAAGUUGGUGAGAGUGAUGAGCAAGAGUGUCUUGUUUACAAGAGUAAAGUUCAACAGGCUGCCAAGUCCCGAGUGUCUUGUUUACAAAAACUUUAGCUGUGACAUCUCAAGCAAUGGAGAUGAUGUGUAGUUAACGUGUUGGUAGAGUGACAGGCUGCACAAGGUUCUUGAGUUUGUGAGCACAGUUCAUGAUCUGUGUGAAGAUGAGGUUAAUUCAGAGGAUGAAUAUGAAGAAAACACUGAUCAGUGGACAUGGGGAUAUUUUGUUGUUGGUGUUAUGAGUAUGGGGAAAUUUAUGUUGUUGGUGUUUGUUGAACUUGAUACGUUUGGAUGGAAGUAGAUUUGUAAAAUUUUCAUGUUUAAUGUAAAAUUUGCACUUUCAUU
This is a long non-coding RNA of Brassica napus (rape), 1581 nucleotides long. RefSeq lists it as uncharacterized. NCBI's taxonomy places the organism in Eukaryota, Viridiplantae, Streptophyta, Magnoliopsida, Brassicales, Brassicaceae. The record is from RefSeq and is a predicted model, not a curated record. The transcript is spliced from 2 exons.